UUAUUCCUACGGGGGGCAGCAGUGAGGAAUAUUGGUCAAUGGGCGGGAGCCUGAACCAGCCAAGCCGCGUGAGGGAAGAAGGUACAGCGUAUCGUAAACCUCUUUUGUCAGGGAACAAAGGCGGGGACUAGUCCCCGGAUGAGGGUACCUGAAGAAAAAGCAUCGGCUAACUCCGCGCCAGCAGCCGCGGUAAUACGGAGGAUGCGAGCGUUAUCCGGAUUUACUGGGUGUAAAGGGAGCGUAGACGGCAGAGCAAGUCUGAAGUGAAAGCCCGCGGCCCAACUGCGGGA
RNAcentral lists this ribosomal RNA (290 nucleotides) under uncultured bacterium. Its description in RNAcentral is "partial 16S ribosomal RNA". It matches the Rfam family "Bacterial small subunit ribosomal RNA", at positions 333 to 620 of the family's 1533-position model. The record is from RNAcentral.